GCUGUAGCUCAGUGGUAAAGCAUUUGCCUUGGGUGCAAAGGGUCCCAGGUUCAAUCCCUGACAUCUCCA
Podarcis lilfordi (Lilford's wall lizard) is the source of this 69-nucleotide non-coding RNA. The record is from the annotation of a GenBank genome assembly. Lineage: Eukaryota; Metazoa; Chordata; Lepidosauria; Squamata; Lacertidae.